RNAcentral lists this ribosomal RNA (494 nucleotides) under uncultured bacterium. Its description in RNAcentral is "SSU rRNA". It matches the Rfam family "Bacterial small subunit ribosomal RNA", at positions 26 to 521 of the family's 1533-position model. The record is from RNAcentral.
AGGACGAACGCUGGCGGCGUGCUUAACACAUGCAAGUGGAGCGACGAACCAGGGCUUGCCCUGGGGCAGAGCCGCGAACGGGUGAGUAACACGUGGGUUACCUGCCUCGAUGACCGGGACAACCCGAGGAAACUCGGGCUAAUACCGGAUGUGCCCGCAAGGGGAAAGGAAGCUUCGGCCUCCGCAUCGAGAUGGGCCCGCGGCCCAUUAGCUUGUUGGUGAGGUAACGGCUCACCAAGGCUUCGAUGGGUAGCUGGUCUGAGAGGACGAUCAGCCACACUGGGACUGAGACACGGCCCAGACUCCUACGGGAGGCAGCAGUGGGGAAUCUUGCGCAAUGCGCGAAAGCGUGACGCAGCAACGCCGCGUGGGGGAAGAAGGCUUUCGGGUGUAAACCCCUUUCAGUUGGGACGAAGCUUCGACGGUGAAUAGCCGGACGGAGUGACGGUACCUUCACAAGAAGCACCGGCUAACUACGUGCCAGCAGCCGCGGU